RNAcentral lists this long non-coding RNA (806 nucleotides) under Homo sapiens (human). RNAcentral describes it as "long non-coding RNA NONHSAT196683.1". The record is from RNAcentral. Lineage: Eukaryota; Metazoa; Chordata; Mammalia; Primates; Hominidae.
UACAGAUCUGGCAGAAAACUGUGAAGGAGGCUCAUUUGACAAAGGAUCAAAGGAAGCAGUUCCAGGUACUGGUAGAGAACAAGUUUUAUGAAUGGUUGAUUAAUACAGGACAUCGCCAACAGCUGGACAGCCUUGUACCCCCUGCAGCAGGCUCCAAACAAGCAGCUGGAUAAGGAUCUUACAUGCAGACACUGGGCCCUGGAAAUACAAGGAUAAAUGGAGGAUGGUGCUCAUCUUGAAACUUGAAACUAAAUUGGGAAGGUGCUAUUGCUGCUUAAGAGACAUUGGGACUUUUCUGUCUUUUUUUUUUUUUUUUUUUGAGGCAGAGUCUUGUUCUGUCGCCCAGGCUGGAGUGCAGUGGCGCGAUCUCGGCUCACUGCAAGCUCUGCCUCCCGGGUUCACGCCAUUCUCCUGCCUCAGCCUCCUGAGUAGCUGGGACUACAGGCGCCCGCCACCACGCCCGGCCAAUUUUUUUUGUAUUUUUAGUAGAGACGGGGUUUCACCGUGUUAGUCAGGAUGGUCUCGAUUUCCUGACCUCGUGAUCCGCCCAUCUCGGCCUCCCAAAGUGCUGGGAUUACAGGCGUGAGCCACCGUGCCCAGCCUUCUGUUCUAUUUAAGAACUUUGAUUUCCAUUCCAUUUUCAUUUAUUACUGUUUAGGCCGAAUUUUCGCUAAACUUCUGACUUUCAUAUAAACAUAUUGCUUAUAGAACAUCAGAAGACUCGUCUUUGUGAUGCCCAAAUGAAAAAGUUGGUGAAGGUAGUACCAUUGUAUGUAUGUUAAUAUUAAAGCAACUGAGUGUAGAUU